This 460-nucleotide ribosomal RNA is filed under the name uncultured bacterium. Its description in RNAcentral is "partial 16S ribosomal RNA". It matches the Rfam family "Bacterial small subunit ribosomal RNA", at positions 338 to 795 of the family's 1533-position model. The record is from RNAcentral.
CCUACGGGUGGCAGCAGUGAGGAAUAUUGGUCAAUGGGCGCGAGCCUGAACCAGCCAAGUAGCGUGAAGGAUGACUGCCCUACGGGUUGUAAACCUCUUUUAUAAAGGAAUAAAGUGAGUCACGUGUGCCUUUUUGUAUGUACUUUACGAAUAAGGAACGGCUAACUUCGUGCCAGCAGCCGCGGUAAUACGGAGGAUACGAGCGUUGUUCGGAUUUAGUGGGUUUAAAGGGAGCGUAGAUGGCUUGUUAAGUCAGUUGUGAAAGUUUACGGCUCAACCGUAAAAUUGCAAUUGAUACUGGCAGCCUUGAGUGCAGUUGAGGUAGGCGGAAUUCGUGGUGUAGCGGUGAAAUGCUUAGAUAUCACGAAGAACACCGAUUGCGAAGGCAGCUUACUAAGCUGCCACUGACGUUGAUGCUCGAAAGUGUGGGUAUCAAACAGGAUUAGAUACCCUUGUAGUC